Molecule: ribosomal RNA, 482 nt
Filed under: uncultured bacterium
Lineage: Bacteria
Description: partial 16S ribosomal RNA
Rfam family: Bacterial small subunit ribosomal RNA
Source: RNAcentral
AUUGAACGCUGGCGGCAUGCCUUACACAUGCAAGUCGAACGGUAACAGGUCUUCGGAUGCUGACGAGUGGCGAACGGGUGCGUAAUACAUCGGAACGUGCCCGAUCGUGGGGGAUAACGAGGCGAAAGCUUUGCUAAUACCGCAUACGAUCUACGGAUGAAAGCGGGGGAUCUUCGGACCUCGCGCGGACGGAGCGGCCGAUGGCAGAUUAGGUAGUUGGUGGGAUAAAAGCUUACCAAGCCGACGAUCUGUAGCUGGUCUGAGAGGAUGAUCAGCCACACUGGGACUGAGUCACGGCCCAGACUCCUACGGGAGGCAGCAGUGGGGAAUUUUGGACAAUGGGCGAAAGCCUGAUCCAGCCAUGCCGCGUGCAGGAUGAAGGCCUUUGGGUUGUAAACUGCUUUUGUACGGAACGAAAAGCCUCUUUCUAAUAAAGAGGGGUCAUGACGGUACCGUAAGAAUAAGCACCGGCUAACUACGUG